UGGGGAAUAUUGGACAAUGGGCGCAAGCCUGAUCCAGCCAUGCCGCGUGAGUGAUGAAGGCCCUAGGGUUGUAAAGCUCUUUCACCGGUGAAGAUAAUGACGGUAACCGGAGAAGAAGCCCCGGCUAACUUCGUGCCAGCAGCCGCGGUAAUACGAAGGGGGCUAGCGUUGUUCGGAUUUACUGGGCGUAAAGCGCACGUAGGCGGACUAUUAAGUCAGGGGUGAAAUCCCGGGGCUCAACCCCGGAACUGCCUUUGAUACUGGUAGUCUUGAGUUCGAGAGAGGUGAGUGGAAUUCCGAGUGUAGAGGUGAAAUUCGUAGAUAUUCGGAGGAACCAGUGGCGAAGGCGGCUCACUGGCUCGAUACUGACGCUGAGGUGCGAAAGCGUGGGGAGCAAACAGG
Molecule: ribosomal RNA, 402 nt
Filed under: Actinomycetes bacterium
Lineage: Bacteria; Bacillati; Actinomycetota; Actinomycetes
Description: Actinobacteria bacterium partial 16S ribosomal RNA
Rfam family: Bacterial small subunit ribosomal RNA
Source: RNAcentral